RNAcentral lists this ribosomal RNA (395 nucleotides) under uncultured bacterium. RNAcentral's name for it is "partial 16S ribosomal RNA". It matches the Rfam family "Bacterial small subunit ribosomal RNA", at positions 338 to 730 of the family's 1533-position model. The record is from RNAcentral.
CCUACGGGUGGCUGCAGUGAGGAAUAUUGGUCAAUGGGCGUAAGCCUGCACCAGCCAAGUCGCGUGAGGGAUGAAGGCUCUAUGGGUUGUAAACCUCUUUUAUAAGGGAAUAAAGAGCGGGACGUGUCCCGUCUUGUAUGUACCUUGUGAAUAAGCAUCGGCUAACUCCGUGCCAGCAGCCGCGGGAAUAAGGAGGAUCCGAGCGUUAUCCGGAUUUAUUGUGUUUAAAGGGUGCGUAGGCGGCCUGUUAAGUCAGCGGUGAAAGUGUGGGGCUCAACCAUAGACUCGCCGUUGAAACUGGGAGGCUUGAGUAGGUUGGAGGCAGGCGGAAUGCGUGGUGUAGCGGUGAAAUGCUUAGAUAUCACGCAGAACCCCGAUGGCGAAGGCAGCCUGCC